GGUCAGCUGACACAUCCCUGCCAAUCUCCGGCAGACCCUCCCUCCCAGACCCUCCCACCUCCUGGACAGCAUCCAUGUUGAAGUGCCUUCAACAUGGAAGUGCCUUCAACAUGGAUGCUGUCCAGGAAGUAGGAGGGUGUGGGAGGGAGGGUCUGCCGGAGAUUGGCAGGGAUGUGUCAGCUG
Pelobates cultripes (western spadefoot toad) is the source of this 183-nucleotide non-coding RNA. The record is from the annotation of a GenBank genome assembly. NCBI's taxonomy places the organism in Eukaryota, Metazoa, Chordata, Amphibia, Anura, Pelobatidae.